UCCGGCUUGUGGCUCGGCGGAGCUGAGCUCCUCCGCAGCAGCACCGUCAAGCCUACAGAGUCUGGAAUCUCUUGGACAGUUCGAAAGGAUAUUACUCGUUACUCCUCUCUCCUCGUGAAGAGAAACAUCAACUUCACUAUCAUGCUCGAAAACGUCGUUGAUAACAUCUACACCGGCGUUUAUCAUGUCGACGUCACCUUUUUCUUCUACAAGGAAACCGCCGUUAGGGCUCCGUUAAUCGGGGGUGAUCACAUAAGCAUUUUCCCACAAAAACAAGGCCUAAUUGGAGGUUUUGCGGCGAAGGAUGUGUAUGAAUCGCCGGCUGAUUUGAUAAUUCCAAUAUCUGCAUUUCAUAAUAGUAAAGGUUAUUGGUUUAUAAUCAAAGGGGAUUCAGAUGUUCAUUUCAGGAAAUUGAGAUUCCCAGACAACACACGCAGAGCCGUUUUGGAAUUGUACGUGUCGUUUCAUGGAAACGACGAGUUUUGGUACUCUAAUCCAUCGAAUACUUACAUUAGAAUGAACAAUUUGACUACUUUGCGAGGGAAUGGAGCAUUUAGGGAGGUUUUCGUGACAAUUGAUGGGAUGUUUGUGGCCUCAGAAGUUCCAUUUCCUGUUAUUUUCACCGGCGGGUUUAAUCCUUUGUUUUGGGAACCUGCAGUGGCUAUUGGUGCAUUUGAUCUUCCCACUUACGACUUCGAUUUGACGCCAUUUUUAGGGGUUCUUUUGGAUGGGAGGGAUCAUGUGGUCGGAGUUGGUGUUAGUGAUGGCAUUUCUUAUUGGCUUGUUGAUGCUAAUUUGCACCUUUGGUUGGAUAUUGGAGCAGCUAGUGUAGAAGCUAAAUCUGUGGUUUAUCAGAAUCCUGGUUCCUCCAUCAAACGACAAGAAGAGUUUAGAGAUCUUGAUGGGUCGUUUGCAAUCAAGGGAACAAGGAAAACACAGCUAGUGGGUUGGAUCAAAUCGAGUGCAGGAAAUCUUACUACUUCUGUUAUGCAUCAGUUUAAGUUCAGGAGCUCUAUAAAGUAUGGAAGGAAUGGGAAUUAUAAGCAUGCUAAACAGAAUAUGAAGUCUACUAGAGAAGUUAGAGUGAUGAAUGAAAUGGGCAUGUUGCUUAGUCGUGUAACUAUGAAAAGAAGGUAUCCUAUCAAAGUGGUCACUUUGAAAAUCCCUGGAACAAAGAAGAAUACCUAUAUGUUGAUUACAAAUGUUUCUCAUUCUUUGAUUGACCACUGUUCAAAUGGGAAGCUUUCGAGCUUUGUUCACAACAAUCAGAUUGCUAAUGGUUGGAUAGAGGUUAAGGAUCAUGAUGUUAUUGCAGGCGAAGCUAUCACUAACCAAACUUUAACUUGCAGGGAUGAUUCUGGUUGCUAUGUCCGUACUGUUGCAGCAAUCGAUGGUAGCCUUGUAAUAGACAAUUCAACCUUUGCUUGUCCAUCCCUUAUUUAAUAUUCUUUGGUAAUGAUAGUUUCAAUUUAGGUUGGUAAUGAUAGUUUCAAUUUAGGUUGUUCUUGCUCCAAAAUCUCUAAAUAAUCGGUGCCCUCUGUAUCUGAUAGUGUAUUUAUCAAUCUUUUGUGUGGCGUAAUUUCACAAUAUUUUAGUAAUGCUUUUUUCCCA
This 1611-nucleotide unclassified non-coding RNA is filed under the name Hevea brasiliensis (rubber tree). Lineage: Eukaryota; Viridiplantae; Streptophyta; Magnoliopsida; Malpighiales; Euphorbiaceae. The record is from RNAcentral.